UUGUAAUUGUAGGGGUAUGAUCUGCAAGAACAAAAUAGAUUAUGAAACUCAUUGUGGUAAUUGCUGUAUAAUAAGUGAAGCUGUGAUGAAAGUCUUUAUACAAAAAAUUGAAUUCCUUUCCAUAGUCCACUUUAUUUACUGAUCAGCAAUACAUUGCUUUCACCCAUGAUUUUCUCCAGUUCAUCAAACCAUAUGCAGUCAACCUACCAACUCAAAACAAGCAUAAAAGUAGAAAUAUGCCUACAAGUACGUACAAAUUUUAGCAUAAUUUCAGGGAAAUAUUAAUGAUAUUGAACAGAAAAUCUUCUAAACUAUAACCAGUAGUAGUUCAAAUAUCCACUUUUAUUGUAAAUCAGACGUUCAGUACACAAACAGAGCCAAAAUUCAUCCUAUUCUUUCACAGUUUGUAGUCAGUAAACUUACAAUAUAUUAUGUUCUUUGUUAUUUCCUGGUAAGGAUGUCCUUAUUUGGAAUAUUAGGCAGUAGUUCUGCUUCUUUUUGUUGAAUCCUAUAUAUGUAAAUGAAAUUUGAUAAUGUGAUCAUCAAAUCUAUCACUAACAGAGCUAAUAAUAAAAGCGCACCUUUUGUCUAUGGGAAUUAGACUG
Molecule: unclassified non-coding RNA, 605 nt
Filed under: Hevea brasiliensis (rubber tree)
Lineage: Eukaryota; Viridiplantae; Streptophyta; Magnoliopsida; Malpighiales; Euphorbiaceae
Source: RNAcentral